RNAcentral lists this ribosomal RNA (429 nucleotides) under Bacteroidota bacterium. RNAcentral's name for it is "Bacteroidetes bacterium partial 16S ribosomal RNA". It matches the Rfam family "Bacterial small subunit ribosomal RNA", at positions 355 to 776 of the family's 1533-position model. Lineage: Bacteria; Pseudomonadati; Bacteroidota. The record is from RNAcentral.
UAGGGAAUCUUCGGCAAUGGGGGGAACCCUGACCGAGCAACGCCGCGUGAGUGAAGAAGGUUUUCGGAUCGUAAAGCUCUGUUGUUAAGGAAGAACGAGUGUGAGAAUGGAAAGUUCAUACUGUGACGGUACUUAACCAGAAAGGGACGGCUAACUACGUGCCAGCAGCCGCGGUAAUACGUAGGUCCCGAGCGUUGUCCGGAUUUAUUGGGCGUAAAGCGAGCGCAGGCGGUUAGAUAAGUCUGAAGUUAAAGGCAGUGGCUCAACCAUUGUAGGCUUUGGAAACUGUUUAACUUGAGUGCAGAAGGGGAGAGUGGAAUUCCAUGUGUAGCGGUGAAAUGCGUAGAUAUAUGGAGGAACACCGGUGGCGAAAGCGGCUCUCUGGUCUGUAACUGACGCUGAGGCUCGAAAGUGUGGGGAGCGAACAGG